GGGGGAUAACUAUUGGAAACGAUAGCUAAUACCGCAUGACACUAAAGUACACAUGUACUCAAGUUAAAAGGAGCAAUUGCUUCACUAUGAGAUGGACCUGCGUUGUAUUAGCUAGUUGGUGAGGUAAAGGCUCACCAAGGCGACGAUACAUAGCCGACCUGAGAGGGUGAUCGGCCACACUGGGACUGAGACACGGCCCAUACUCCUACGGGAGGCAGCAGUAGGGAAUCUUCGGCAAUGGACGGAAGUCUGACCGAGCAACGCCGCGUGAGUGAAGAAGGUUUUCGGAUCGUAAAGCUCUGUUGUUAGAGAAGAACGGUAAUGGGAGUGGAAAAUCCAUUACGUGACGGUGACUAACCAGAAAGGGACGGCUAACUACGUGCCAGCAGCCGCGGUAA
This 398-nucleotide ribosomal RNA is filed under the name Streptococcus iniae. RNAcentral's name for it is "bacterial SSU rRNA". It matches the Rfam family "Bacterial small subunit ribosomal RNA", at positions 138 to 523 of the family's 1533-position model. The record is from RNAcentral. Lineage: Bacteria; Bacillati; Bacillota; Bacilli; Lactobacillales; Streptococcaceae.